UUGAAAGACGUUAAUUUACACAUUAAGUUCCAGUGGGGGUUAUCAAAACUGCUUUGGGUCCACAUAAUAAUAAUAAUAAUAAUAAUAAUAACAACAAGAAGAAGUCGUAGGUGGAACAGAAGGGCAAAUGAUACAGUAUGACAUUUACUGGAAUAAAAUCAGAUACAAGAAA
Hippocampus comes (tiger tail seahorse) is the source of this 172-nucleotide long non-coding RNA. RefSeq lists it as uncharacterized. The transcript has 2 exons. Lineage: Eukaryota; Metazoa; Chordata; Actinopteri; Syngnathiformes; Syngnathidae. The record is from RefSeq and is a predicted model, not a curated record.